AAUAGAACAAUAUAAUUAGGUUUUUACACUUUGUUCGAUUCAAUGAGAAUAAGUGCUCGUUGCAAAGUUAUACUGUUAGGGCGAAACAGAGUAGUCUAAUUGUAAGGUACCGGACUUCUAAAAUCAUGAAGCUUAUGGUUUAUGUGAGGUUAUAAAGCCAUUCGAAUGGUUCCGGUGAAGUUCGGUGAAGUUCGGAGGCAUUCGGGCGUUUCGGUGCUCAUAGGUGCGGAAACGGGACGCGAAAGGCUAUGUUGGGCCGUGAGCUAAAUCCGGCGUUAGCGCGGAUGAAAAGAUGAGGAAAAUAUGCUCAAGAACAUGUUUGGAGAGUCUCGGUUCGAUUUGAGACGAAUCGGAGGUCAAACGAGCGAAAACGGACGAAAACGGACAAAAGUUGAAAUUUGGCUAAGUCUGGGCUGGUUGACCUGCGGGGAUGGGUCCCUCAACCAGGGACAGGUCUCUCAGGGACCGGUCCCUCACCGCAAGGACCGGUCCCCGAAUGCGAAAAACGCCCAGUUUGGGCUGAUGCGAGGUUAGAAGAGUUGGGGGGCUUAUUUGUAAAUGUUGCAAGUGUGAGAGAGGUUAAGAGAGGACUCUCUCUCUCACUUUCUCUCAUUCCCUCACUCUCUCUCUCACGUUUCUCUCUCCCUCUCUCUCUCUAAACGUAAAGAAGAAAGGAGAAGAGAAGAAGAAAGGGAAGAAGAAGAAGAAGAAGUUGGAGGAGAGGAAGUGGAUCAUCAUCACCUCCAUCUUCUUCCUCACCUUGGAGCAAGCUUUGGAGAGGUAAGCAUCUUAGCCUCUCAUGGUAGAUUUCUAUAGGUAGGUCUAAAUGCUCUAGAAGUGAAUUUAGUAGGCUCCUUUGAUGCUAGAUAGAUGUUUAUUGCAUGAAUCGGAGAUCGAUUUGGGACAUUUUGCAAUAGUAGCAUCUUGGGCAUCAAAAAUGGCGUUUUGAUAUAUAUGAGGGUUUGAUCUCUUUUAACCCUCUGGAAACCUAAUUGGUAGGUAACGAGACACGUUGGCGAAGACGGUUCGGCAAUCCGACGAGCCGUUACAAAGUUAUUAAAGAAACGGACGUUUAGGCUUCGGGUUUGCCGAGAGGGCCGAGGCGACGUCGUAAAAUCAUGGGAUUGGAUUUGGAGCACCGUCGCGUGUAACUGAAGAGAUACUGCACUUGAAACGGCGAGGUGACACGCUCUUGGAGAGCAACGGUGAGAACGGGCCCAAACGGGUGCCGGGUGCCGGGUGCCGCGGAAGGCCGAUUGCAAGUGUCGACAAGCAAUCGAAAAGCGUUAAAAGGUGGGUUGUGCUUACCGAAGCGACUAGGUCGCCUUUAUGUCUAAGAAAGACUAAGAAUCCAUGUUGAUGAUCUUAUCUGUUAGCGCAAAUGGACCUAAUGUGUUCCUUGAUCUAUGAACAUUGACAUCGAUCGUUACAAUAGUUACGCCUCGGGCAUAAUAGAAAUUAAUAAUUAGCUUUUACUCUUUGGUAUCGACUUGAACUUAGGAAAAAGUAUGCUUGCAAAUUUUAUAUGUUAGGCGUAAACAGAGUGGCUUAAUGUUGUUCGUUUUGGUUCUUAUGAACGUUGACAUUGAUUCUUUCCAAAUUUACACUAUGGGCAUAAUAAUAUAAAAUUAGGUUUUAACUUUGUUUCAUUGAAUGACGAAAAAGUGAAUUUACACUCUCGGGGCAUAAUAGAACAAUAUAAUUAGCUUUUACUGUUUGUUGAUAGAAUGAGAAAAAGCACUCGUUGCCAAUUUAAACUGUUAGAGCGCAACUGAGUAGUCUAAUGUUGUUCCGGCUUUGGUUUUUGUGAAUGUCGACAUCGAUUCGUUGCAAAUUUACACUCUCGGGGAAUAAUAGAACAAUUUAUUUAGCUUUUACUCUUUCUUCGAUAGAAUGAGAAAAAGCACUCGUUGCCAAUUUAUACUGUUAGGGCGCAACUGAGUAGUCUAAUGUUGUUUCGGCUUUGGUUUUUGUGAACGUCGACAUUGAUUCGUUGCAAAUUUACACUCUCGGGGCAUAAUAGAACAAUUUUAUUAGCUUUUACUCUUCGGUCGAUAGAAUGAGAAAAAGCACUCGUUGCAAAUUUAUACUGUUAGGGCGCAACUGAGUAGCCUAAUGUUGUUCCGGUUUGGGUUUUUAUGAAAAUUGACAUUGAUUCGUUGCAAAUUUACGCUCUCGUGGCAUAAUAGAACAAUAUAAUUAGCUUUUACUCUUUGUUCGAUUGAAUGAGAAAAAGUACUCGUUGCAAAUUUAUACUAUUAGGGUGAACUUAGUCGUCUAAUGUUGUUCCGGUUUAGGUUCUUAUGAACGUUUACAUUGAUUCGUACAAAAUUUACACUAUAGGCGCAUAAUAGAACAAUAUAACUAGGUUUUACACGUUGUUCGACUGAAUGAGAAAAAGUGCUCGUUGCAAAGUUAUACUGUUAGGGCGCAACAGAGUAGUCUAAUAUUGUUCCGGUUUUGGUUCUUUUGAACGUUGACAUCGAUUCGUUCCAAAUUUACACUCUCGGGGCAUAAUAGAGCAAUAUAAUUAGGUUUUACACGUUGUUCGAUUGAAUGAGAAAAAGUACUCGUUGCAAAGUUAUACUGUUAGGGCGCAACAGAGUAGUUUAAUGUUGUUCCGGCUUUGGUUUUUGUGAACGUCGACAUCGAUUCGUUGCAAAUUUACACUCUCGGGGCAUAAUAGAACAAUAUAAUUAGCUUUUACUCUUUGUUCGAUAGAAUGAGAAAUAGCACUCGUUGCCAAUUUAUACUGUUAGGGCGCAACUGAG
Molecule: long non-coding RNA, 2771 nt
Filed under: Ananas comosus (pineapple)
Lineage: Eukaryota; Viridiplantae; Streptophyta; Magnoliopsida; Poales; Bromeliaceae
Description: long non-coding RNA (ACOM_LNC040250)
Source: RNAcentral